CGCGCUGUAAACGAUGAGUGCUAGACGGUGGAGGUAUUGACCCCUUCGCUGCCGAAGCUAACGCGUUAAGCACUCCGCCUGGGGAGUACGGUCGCAAGACUAAAACUCAAAGGAAUUGACGGGGGCCCGCACAAGCGGUGGAGUAUGUGGUUUAAUUCGAUGCAACGCGAAGAACCUUACCUGGCCUUGACAUGUCCGGAAUCCUGCAGAGAUGCGGGAGUGCCUUCGGGAAUCGGAACACAGGUGC
RNAcentral lists this ribosomal RNA (247 nucleotides) under uncultured bacterium. Its description in RNAcentral is "partial 16S ribosomal RNA". It matches the Rfam family "Bacterial small subunit ribosomal RNA", at positions 796 to 1041 of the family's 1533-position model. The record is from RNAcentral.